AUAUUAGGCACUGAUGCCUAUGAAAGCCUGGAUCAUAGUAAUCUCACUUUCAAGGCUGGAUGGAAUGAGAUACUUGAAUGUUGGAGCAACAACUGGUGAAAUUUCAAAUUAUGAAGAUUUACUUGAAUGUUCUCUGCUGAUUGCUCUGGCAAGUUAUUUACAUGCAGAUUCUGCCAUGAUAAAGUCAGUGAAAUUUAAUGGAUAUGCACAAGAAGAAGAAGAAGAUGGCAGAAAGAUGGGCCUCCCUUUUGGUAUUCCAGAAUGUACUGUGAAAUGGGUGAAGCUAUCAUAAGUGUGGGUUAUGUGGAUCCUUUGAUAGCAGCCUACUUAAGAAAAUGAAGAUGCAGGGUUAUCAUGCAUACCAUAGUAAGAGAAGGAGGAUUCUAUCCUGGAGCCUGGAAGGCCUGCCAAAACUGACAAGGCUGCCAUUUUAAGUGAUGCUAUGUGAGUGGUGACCCAGUUACAAAGUGAAGCCCAGAAGCUAAAUGAAUCAAACGAGGAUUUGAAAAUGAAGAUUAAAGAAUUGAAGGCUGAGAAGAAUAUGCUUCAUGAUGAGAAGCAGAGGCUCAAGGCGGACAAAGAGAAGUUGGAUUUGAAGUAUAGAUGCUUCUACAGACAUUUCUGACAAUCAGAUUUGUGCAAAGCUCUACCAUUUCCAGUGGAGAUUUCUACAAUCUGUUUGGAUAUGACAAUCUCACUUUUUCCAAGUGACAAAUUUGGACUGGUUAUACCCACUUAUUUCUAAGGUAG
This is a non-coding RNA of Corylus avellana, 750 nucleotides long. NCBI's taxonomy places the organism in Eukaryota, Viridiplantae, Streptophyta, Magnoliopsida, Fagales, Betulaceae. The record is from RefSeq and is a predicted model, not a curated record.